Molecule: transfer RNA, 72 nt
Filed under: Dipodomys ordii (Ord's kangaroo rat)
Lineage: Eukaryota; Metazoa; Chordata; Mammalia; Rodentia; Heteromyidae
Rfam family: tRNA
About the family: Transfer RNA (tRNA) molecules are approximately 80 nucleotides in length. Their secondary structure includes four short double-helical elements and three loops (D, anti-codon, and T loops). Further hydrogen bonds mediate the characteristic L-shaped molecular structure. tRNAs have two regions of fundamental functional importance: the anti-codon, which is responsible for specific mRNA codon recognition, and the 3' end, to which the tRNAs corresponding amino acid is attached (by aminoacyl-tRNA synthetases). tRNAs cope with the degeneracy of the genetic code in two manners: having more than one tRNA (with a specific anti-codon) for a particular amino acid; and 'wobble' base-pairing, i.e. permitting non-standard base-pairing at the 3rd anti-codon position.
Source: Rfam by way of RNAcentral
GACAUCAUGGCCCAGUGGUAGAGCAUCUGUCUGGCAAGCAUAAUUCCCUGAGUUCAAACCCCAGUACCAUCA